GGUUAUGGCCAUGCAACCCUGAACAAGCCUGAUGUCUAAUCUCAGAAGCUAAGCAGGGUCGGGCCUGGUUAGUACUUGCAUGGGAGACCACCUAGGAAGACCAGAUGCUGUAGGCA
Molecule: ribosomal RNA, 116 nt
Filed under: Pteropus alecto (black flying fox)
Lineage: Eukaryota; Metazoa; Chordata; Mammalia; Chiroptera; Pteropodidae
Source: RNAcentral